Molecule: long non-coding RNA, 1164 nt
Organism: Mandrillus leucophaeus (drill)
Lineage: Eukaryota; Metazoa; Chordata; Mammalia; Primates; Cercopithecidae
Exons: 4
Source: RefSeq, a predicted model, not a curated record
GAGUACUCAAUGAUUCUAGUUGAAAGAAAGAAAAAAGGAAGUAAGAAAGGAGGAAGAGGCAGGCACAAGACAAAAUGAAUCUCUCCGCUGUGCACAUGGAGCCUUAGCUCUGAUUCCAGUUGAGCAAAAUUAUGAAGAAGAUGAUUCCCCAUAUGGAGCACACCCUGUGGCGAGUCACUCACUCCCCGAAGGCCUUCUGAAGGAUCACGCAUGUCCUGACUGCACAGCCUGCUUUGGACAAUGCUCUCAAAGCCACGGUUGUAAUAGAAAGUGGAAAAUUAAAGCAGAUCCAUGUGGCCUCAGCACAACAAAAGCAAGGUAGGCCAAAGAGAAGUCAGGAAAAAAUGGAUGUUACUACUGCUAGUACUGCUUCUGCUGCCAAGUUUUUGAGCACAUAACCAGGAUGACAGCCACAGUUCCACAAAGCUCUGAUACAACAUCAAAAAGAAACUCACCACCAAGGAAAGCAGUGAAUCCUUUCUUGUCUUGAGUGAAUGGCAAUUAUCUUGGUGGCCAAGAUAACAAGUACACAUAUUUAUUAUAUUCAAAAACUAUUCUAAAAUGUAUGUUCUCUAUAUAAAGUAAUCUCCACAUGAUUCUGAGGAAAAGGUUUAAUCUAUCUUACUACUACAAAGUUCUUAAUACUACUUUGACAAGGAGGUACUAUAUCCCAAGAUGUGAUACUUUUUGCUCAGUUUUUAAAUUAAACAUUCUAGAGUAAUUUUAUAGAGUGAUGUCAGCAUGAUGGCCAACCAGAGUUGCAUGACACAAAAAGGUACCAAAACAAUAAAUAAACUAUGCUUUGACUGGAAUUACUAAUGAAGUACACUGGAAAGUGCCGGGGGAGCAACAAAAUUUCUAUAGAGCAUGGAAGCCCAGGAUAGCACCGCAGAGAGGGAAAUGAGAUAUCCUCCCUCUGCCAUAUGCUAUCCCCCACCAGGAUCAGCUCAGAGCCAGGGAAACUUCUUCUCACGGGGAAAAAGUAAGCUGGAAUCCUUCAUCCCAUCACCUACACAGACAGGAACAGUCAUUGCUAUAAAAGGGUCUCCCGGUACUUACGGGACCAGAAACCUGCGUGGAGAGUUACUGGGAGUUCAUGUGGCCGCACUGCCCCAGAACAGGAACCACUUUGGCAUUCCAACCCCCAUGACCUAAGCUGCUACA